UUUGAGGCCUAUCCCGACAGGCUCUUGACUGUAGGGUGUUGUCGUUGGAAAUGCCUCGUAAAAAAACCCUGCAGUUUCGCUUUACCCUCAGGACUAGUACCAUUAGCCCUGUGGGAUAAUACUGCAGAACAAGU
Molecule: small nucleolar RNA, 134 nt
Organism: Megalops cyprinoides (Indo-Pacific tarpon)
Lineage: Eukaryota; Metazoa; Chordata; Actinopteri; Elopiformes; Megalopidae
Source: RefSeq, a predicted model, not a curated record